RNAcentral lists this ribosomal RNA (253 nucleotides) under uncultured bacterium. RNAcentral's name for it is "partial 16S ribosomal RNA". It matches the Rfam family "Bacterial small subunit ribosomal RNA", at positions 524 to 776 of the family's 1533-position model. The record is from RNAcentral.
UACGAAGGGGGCUAGCGUUGCUCGGAAUUACUGGGCGUAAAUCGCACGUAGGCGGCUUCUUAAGUCGGUGGUGAAAUCCUGGAGCUCAACUCCAGAACUGCCUUCGAUACUGGGAAGCUCGAGUCCGGGAGAGGUGAGUGGAACUGCGAGUGUAGAGGUGAAAUUCGUAGAUAUUCGCAAGAACACCAGUGGCGAAGGCGGCUCACUGGCCCGGUACUGACGCUGAGGUGCGAAAGCGUGGGGAGCAAACAGG